UAACGAUAUGUGUAGGUGUAACAGUCGAAGCAGUUAAUGUUCGUUUGUCCCUAAACUACAUUCAUUAUACUCUAUGUAUUUUUUUCUAACUGAGCUCAUAGAUCUUUGCCUUCCAAAAUGUCGAAGAGCGCAGGGAAUUUGAUAUAUUUCAGAAACUUAUACCACGGCUCGUCUGACCUGUGCGGGUCCAAAACUCAUGGAAGCACUCCACCCGGUUUUGUGUUUGCUUGGUAAACGACGUUCAUAGCUCAACGCUUAGGCAGUUCGUGGACCGCUUUGUCCGCUAGUCUGUAUGGUAUCGGCGAUAAAACGACUUUAUGGGGAAGGUUUGCAUAGACUCACACCGGGCUUUCGUGAAAACUAUUAAGCUGCCAUUAGUAUUCUUCGAGUACUUCAAUGCAGUCCCUGCCGACAAACCUUACUGGAGAGGCUGGACCUGGUGCUAGGAUUGAAAAACAAAAACUAACCAACAAACAAGAAAAUGUGCGAAAGUAGUACAAAGGAAAGUCAUAAGAAUCCACAGGUCUGCACACAUCUGCUAAAUAAACAGUGAAGUGCGACUGAGGGUAGCAACAGAUCGACCCUCCACAGCAAUGGUGAUAACCCGUCUUGUGAUACUAUCUCACUAUCCAACAUUAAAACUGUGUUUCUGGGCGGACAGAAACCGUUAAAGCCAGUUGUUAAAUUUUUGGUCGUGAUUGUCUUGCCUGCGACAGACUGCCGCCAUCUAUAUGAGACGAACUCAGGAACUCAUGAAGUGGAAACCAGAUAGUGUCGUGUUUGGUUGGGUCCCUGCACUAACAGCUCAGCAUUAUGUCUAUAUGAGUAUAUGGGGACCAACCAUGCCACCAGUUACAUGGAGUAGCAUGAACAGAGCCUGUGAAGACUGACCACCGCGUGCCAGUGCGAGAAAUAUAACGCGCUGACACGAUUAAGCGACGAGUCUAACAAUCUCACGAACGGGUGUCAUUCCGGGUACCAACGUACAGGUCCGUAGUCUCUACAACACAGCUAUUUCCGCUGGCAUCGAUUAACCACUAUUAUCGCCUAAACGCCUUUGUGUGCCUUCUUUAUCAAUGUCAGCAUCACGAAGCUUCUGCCACCUGAGCGCGGUCUGGUCAGCACCUGGCUGUGUCCUUGCCAGUAUCGGCGGUUGCAUUAGGCGGUGAUUUGCUGCUGGUCUGAUGGUUUACUGGUCUGCUGGCAAGCGCGUACUCCCCACCAUGGUGCGGCGAACGGACACCCAGGAACCUUCUAGUGGUUCCCAGAAGGACAAACGGGCGGUUGGCAGGAAAGCAGGGACUGACAAAAGCCAGGCACCACAGCUGUGUGGCUGGGCCUCGACACCUGCUCUGGCUUACGAUGAUGAUAACGAUAUCAUCAGCUGGAUGAGAAGAGCGAAAAAUGGCGACAACAGACAGGAUAACAGAAACGGAUCGCUCUGCGAGGAGCAGUUCCGUCACGUGUUCGACCUCUGCACAGCCAUCGAGGACAAGCAAUGUUCGAGCUUCAAAUCCUGAACUGCGACCGGCAUCCGCGGAACUGCCAUAACGGGCCGCAGGCUACCAGCGUUGCCACGGCAACAACCUCCGCGAUGUCAACAGUCGAUGGGACCUCACAGUCUCCUGAACUAGACAAGGACGAAAACUGCCAAAGUGACGACAAAAGAGCAUCGGUUGUAAGGGGAGGUAAUGGUAGUGCGGCAAGCAUGCGGGAGGAGGGGACGCUGUCUAGGGAGGUCCCUGAGUCUUCACGUGUUCAGGGGAAGAACAACGCCAUUAAAGAUGGACAUCCCUGCAACGACAGCAAUGAUGAUGGUGCGAAAGUCAAAGGUCUUGGUGCAAAAUGCAAGGCCGACGCGGCGUUUCUGGACGACGCACGUGUUCCAUCUUCGAAAGGUGACUGGAGACGGGAGGAAACAAGAGGGAAGAGCGAGCUCUCAGAAGAACGACUGUGAACUUGAGGAAAACCAGGGUCAGCACGAGUCAGUGACGCGAUUACGGUAUUCUUGCGCCGAGGAGUCGACAUUUAGUGAACAAAGUACAUACAAACGUGGCAGCGGCUAUAACAAUGGUGACAUGGACCAUCAGACAGCCGACUAUGGUCUGAGUCGUACCUCUGCGUCCGUCUAUCCUGCUAGUCGUCACCACCAGGCCGUCGGUAUCGCGAGGCAGAAACUUCAGCAGCAGCAAGUUGUGGGGACGCGACCUGGAGCUUGGAGCCGCGCGUCAUGGUGUUACGCAAGAUUAUGAUCCAGGACUCCCCACCGGACGUGCACUCCCGGGAUCCAGAGCAACCCAGUCUCCAUCCCAGAGUACCUAGAGUCGUUCCCUUGAGAAACACGACCCGCAAAGUCGAGGUCAUGUGAAAGCUGAAACUGCUGCGGGUCAUCACUCGGCUGACUCACUAUCCAGACAACUCGGCGACGGCCUGACAUCAGAGGGCGCAGACGAUGCUGCCGUGACCUCACCAACCGGCAGGACAUCUGCUGCAUCCUAUCCCCUCCCGUCAUGCAUCCGCAGCGCCAACGAGAAUGAGCGUUCGCAGAUACUUGACCUUUAUUGCGAUGGUAUAUCAAGGAUAGGCUAUUGUUACCAUAACGCGCUACACCAGAUGACCUCCCUACCCAUGACCGACCUCCUUCCUGCAGUGGAACGGAAAAUAUCGCACUCGUUCCACUCAACGUGAAGUCACCAUAGACAACAAUAACAUCUUUCACCUACAAAAUGACCGCUGGCACCAGCACCGGCAGCAGCAGCAACAACAAGAGUGGCGUCAACAGGAAUCUCGCACGACUGUUGAUGAAGGUAGUCAAGGGUACGAAAGAGAGUCGACUCGGUGAGAGGUCACCACAGAUCUUUAGCAUUUGACGAGAGUCGAACUGGCGCCGGCAGUGAAACCCGCACUUUUAAUACCGAAACAAUUCCAAAUUUUCCUAGUUUUCGGCCUCACUAUAGUAUUUCGCCUCUGCAGCGUGCAAGAGAAAUAGCCUUCCGUCGGUUACACGGACACUUGACACAACAGCCGGAUGGUUCUGAGACCGUGACAGUCCCAUCACCUCGAUAUGCACCACGAGCUGACCAGAAAUACAUCCCUUCGCGAACUAGGUCUGCUUGCAGAUUACUUGGUCAAGUCCUUUCGAGGCGAGAUCCAGCACACUACUACAAUUAGUCCCCAAUGAAUAGUACUACAUACGGGUCUUCAGAAGUGUCGCCAUUUUGACGAAGAAACUAAGACGUCCACGAAGAAACGAACCAAAGGCAGAUGUCGACAGGAGUAAGCGGGAGAUGGACACAUCACUUAACUACGAAAUGAAGGAGACCCACAAGCAGAUGUCUGGGACACUGAAAAACAAUUAUCAUGAUCGCGAGUGUAAUGGGAGAGGAAUACACUUAAUUUAUAUUCAGCACGGUGGCUAUAUUACAUACGUUCAUGAGUAAGUGAGCACCGCGAGUGGAGGAGAAAGAAGAGUGAGUGUGGAAAAUAAAGCAUUCACGCCUUUCACAAG
Pomacea canaliculata is the source of this 3508-nucleotide long non-coding RNA. RefSeq lists it as uncharacterized. Lineage: Eukaryota; Metazoa; Mollusca; Gastropoda; Architaenioglossa; Ampullariidae. The record is from RefSeq and is a predicted model, not a curated record. The transcript is spliced from 8 exons.